AGAGCGAACGCUGGCGGCAUGCUUAACACAUGCAAGUCGAGCGGAAAGGCCCUUCGGGGUACUCGAGCGGCGAACGGGUGAGUAACACGUGAGCAACCUGCCCUUAGCUCUGGGAUAGCUCCGGGAAACCGGAAUUAAUACCGGAUACGACCUAGGCCGACAUCGGCCAUGGUGGAAAGUUUUUCGGCUAGGGAUGGACUCGCGGCCUAUCAGCUAGUUGGUGGGGUAAAGGCCUACCAAGGCGACGACGGGUA
RNAcentral lists this ribosomal RNA (254 nucleotides) under uncultured bacterium. RNAcentral's name for it is "partial small subunit ribosomal RNA". It matches the Rfam family "Bacterial small subunit ribosomal RNA", at positions 26 to 285 of the family's 1533-position model. The record is from RNAcentral.